RNAcentral lists this ribosomal RNA (685 nucleotides) under Maladera sp. BMNH 671360. RNAcentral describes it as "eukaryotic LSU rRNA". It matches the Rfam family "Eukaryotic large subunit ribosomal RNA", at positions 644 to 1286 of the family's 3401-position model. Lineage: Eukaryota; Metazoa; Arthropoda; Insecta; Coleoptera; Scarabaeidae. The record is from RNAcentral.
GGGACCCGUCUUGAAACACGGACCAAGGAGUCUAGCAUGUGCGCGAGUCAUUGGGAUAUUUACUAAACCUAAAGGCGCAAUGAAAGUGAAGGUUCGCCUUGCGCGAACCUAGGGAGGAUGGAUCGUUCCGAGGAACGGUCUCGCACUCCCGGGGCGUCUCGCUCUCAUCGCGAGAAGGGGCGCACCCAGAGCGUACACGCUGGGACCCGAAAGAUGGUGAACUAUGCCUGGUCAGGACGAAGUCAGGGGAAACCCUGAUGGAGGUCCGUAGCGAUUCUGACGUGCAAAUCGAUCGUCGGAACUGGGUAUAGGGGCGAAAGACUAAUCGAACCAUCUAGUAGCUGGUUCCCUCCGAAGUUUCCCUCAGGAUAGCUGGCGCUCGCAUCUCGCGAGUCUCAUUCGGUAAAGCGAAUGAUUAGAGGCAUUGGGGUCGAAACGGCCUCAACCUAUUCUCAAACUUUAAAUGGGUGAGAUCUCCGGCUUGCUUGAACUGUGAAGCCGCGAGAUAUCGGAUCAGAGUGCCAAGUGGGCCACUUUUGGUAAGCAGAACUGGCGCUGUGGGAUGAACCAAACGCCGAGUUAAAGCGCCUAAAUCGACGCUUAUGGGAUACCAUGAAAGGCGUUGGUAACUUAAGACAGCAGGACGGUGGCCAUGGAAGUCGGAAUCCGCUAAGGAGUGUGUAAA